AACGAACGCUGGCGGCAUGCCUAACACAUGCAAGUCGAACGAACCCUUCGGGGUUAGUGGCGCACGGGUGCGUAACGCGUGGGAAUCUGCCCUUUGCUUCGGAAUAACUCAGGGAAACUUGUGCUAAUACCGGAUGAUGUCUUCGGACCAAAGAUGUAUCGGCACGGGAUGAGCCCGCGUAGGAUUAGGUAGUUGGUGGGGUAAAGGCCUACCAAGCCGACGAUCCUUAGCUGGUCUGAGAGGAUGAUCAGCCACACUGGGACUGAGACACGGCCCAGACUCGUACGGGAGGGAGCAGUGGAGAAUAUUGGGCAAGGGGCGCAAGUCUGAUCCAGCAAUGCCGCGUGAGUGAUGAAGGCCGUCGGGUCGUAAAGCUCUUUUACCAGGGAUGAUAAUGACAGUACCGGGAGAAUAAGCACCGGCUAACUCCGUG
Molecule: ribosomal RNA, 433 nt
Filed under: uncultured bacterium
Lineage: Bacteria
Description: partial 16S ribosomal RNA
Rfam family: Bacterial small subunit ribosomal RNA
Source: RNAcentral